RNAcentral lists this ribosomal RNA (444 nucleotides) under uncultured bacterium. RNAcentral describes it as "partial 16S ribosomal RNA". It matches the Rfam family "Bacterial small subunit ribosomal RNA", at positions 339 to 795 of the family's 1533-position model. The record is from RNAcentral.
CUACGGGUUGCAGCAGUGGGGAAUAUUGCACAAUGGGCGCAAGCCUGAUGCGGCAACGCCGCGUGAGGGAUGAAGGCCUUCGGGUUGUAAACCUCUUUUAGCAGGGAAGAAGCGAAAGUGACGGUACCUGCAGAAAAAGCACCGGCUAACUACGUGCCAGCAGCCGCGGUAAUACGUAGGGUGCAAGCGUUGUCCGGAAUUAUUGGGCGUAAAGAGCUCGUAGGGGGUUUGUCACGUCUGCUGUGAAAAUCCAAGGCUCAACCUUGGACUUGCAGUGGGUACGGGCAGGCUAGAGUGCGGUAGGGGAGAUGGGAAUGCCUGGUGUAGCGGUGGAAUGCGCAGAUAUCAGGAGGAACACCAAUGGCGAAGGCACAUCUCUGGGCCGUAACUGACGCUGAGGAGCGAAAGCGUGGGGAGCGAACAGGAUUAGAUACCCUUGUAGUC